This is a non-coding RNA of Sesamum indicum (sesame), 1571 nucleotides long. NCBI's taxonomy places the organism in Eukaryota, Viridiplantae, Streptophyta, Magnoliopsida, Lamiales, Pedaliaceae. The record is from RefSeq and is a predicted model, not a curated record.
AACGAGCAAAAGAGAAAGCUGAUUACAAAAAUGAGAGAGAUAGCUGAAAAGUUGUGAUGAGAAUCGAGAUUGUUUGUGUAAUUCUUUAUUUUCCUAAAAAUUCAGAUAUUUACAGGAGGAAGUGAGGGCAUACAUUAUAGAUGAAACCUACAUUAUAGUGAGCUCAAGUUGAAAUGUUGUGGGAGUGUUCACUCUGAUUCCAUCAGUUUGGUGGGUUGAAGUGGGAAAAGUUAAGGGGAUAACGACAUGAUACAAAUCCAAUUUACUCGAUGAACUGGGCUUAGCUGUGUUUUAAACUUCACUAUAAGAUUUGUACAGCUUAAAGAGACUUGAAGUCCCAAAUUAUAACAGCAAAUUAUGGUCGAAGCCUCAUUGGACAAGUUCCGUACGUGUAGUUACUAUAUGUUUCAACUCUACCACAUCUUUCUGGGUGUUAUUUAAAUUGCCAAUGCUUGGAUAAAGUGUCCUCUGGAUGGAUCAAAGUUCUGAAGUAUUUGUGUCUACAGAUGAAGUAAAUGUAACUAAUAUUGGAGUCAAUUAGGUUACUUCAGAAACCAAUGUUCUUAACUGUAGCAGUUUUUCAUGUCGUGCCGGUCCCCUUUAUACUUUUUACAGUGCUUGGCCUCUGUCUGACUUGUCUCCAUAUUUUGGUAUCUCAAUUUUUGAAGCAGUAAAAGGGGAGAAGGCAAGGGAAAAUGCAGUCUUUUAGUCUUCUACUUUUCUGGUUGAUUGUCUUCUUUCUUAAAUUUUCUUUUACUUUGCUCUUCUUUUCUUUUGCUGGUUUAUUUACUCUGAUAGCUAGCUAUCAAUUCGCCUAACCAGUCCAUCAGUUUCAGUUGUCGUAACUUAGAGUCAUGCUGACCUGUGCACAAGAACUGUCAUGAACAUGACCUUAUCUAUAUUUCUCAUUACUUCACGUGACAUUCACGGCCAAUAUAGUGAUCUUUUAAGGCUUUUUGAGUAUGGAGGUUUCCCUCGAAUAUGUUUAUAUGUGGAUGUUCUUGCAUGUUUUUCAUUCAUCUCUCACAUUACUUAAUCUACUUGAUUCUUCUAAAAUAGUAAGAGAAGAAUUAAUGUGUGAAUUAAUGUAGAUUGAUCCAUUGUUUAUUAUGUAAUCCUAUUUAAAUUGUUGUAUUGAUCAUUUCUUAGGCAUGUGAAGACAAAGCCUGUACAAUAGAUUCUGUAGGUCAAAUCCUGAGUCGACAAGAUAAAGAUCGAUGCUAUACAAAAGAGAAAAACAAAGCAUAUGAAGCAAUGAAACCAAAGAGAUUAUCAAAGGGGGAGAUACUUUGUCUAAUGGAAGAAAAGAAACAACUGAAAGAAGACAUCUGGUCACAAGGUUUGCGGAGAAAGGAGUUACAUAUUGCACAACGUCAAACCCCAUGGAAAGAACUACUACAGUAGUUCCUGAAGAAACUUAUGUGAUUUCUGAAGAUGCCUUGGAGACAAGCACAAGAGAACUAGGAAGGAAUGAGGAAAAGCAAUAUCGACGAAAGAAGAGAAAAGAAACAAGAAAAAAAGAAUAUCCGCGAAAAAAAAAGAAAGAGAAACAGAAAAAAGCAAUAUAUAGA